RNAcentral lists this ribosomal RNA (253 nucleotides) under uncultured bacterium. RNAcentral describes it as "partial 16S ribosomal RNA". It matches the Rfam family "Bacterial small subunit ribosomal RNA", at positions 524 to 776 of the family's 1533-position model. The record is from RNAcentral.
UACGAAGGGGGCUAGCGUUUCUCGGAAUCACUGGGCGUAAAGGGCGCGUAGGCGGAUCUUUAAGUCGGGGGUGAAAGCCCAGGGCUCAACCCUGGAAUUGCCUUCGAUACUGAAGAUCUCGAGACCGGAAGAGGUAAGUGGAACUGCGAGUGUAGAGGUGAAAUUCGUAGAUAUUCGCAAGAACACCAGUGGCGAAGGCGGCUUACUGGUCCGGUUCUGACGCUGAGGCGCGAAAGCGUGGGGAGCAAACAGG